GAUGAACGCUGGCGGCGUGCCUAAUACAUGCAAGUCGAGCGAACAGACGAGGAGCUUGCUCCUCUGACGUUAGCGGCGGACGGGUGAGUAACACGCGGAUAACCUACCUAUAAGACUGGGAUAACUUCGGGAAACCGGAGCUAAUACCGGAUAAUAUAUUGAACCGCAUGGUUCAAUAGUGAAAGACGGUUUUGCUGUCACUUAUAGAUGGAUCCGCGCCGCAUUAGAUAGUUGGUAAGGUAACGGCUUACCAAGGCAACGAUGCGUAGCCGACCUGAGAGGGUGAUCGGCCACACUGGAACUGAGACACGGUCCAGACUCCUACGGGAGGCAGCAGUAGGGAAUCUUCCGCAAUGGGCGAAAGCUUGACGGAGCAACGCCGCGUGAGUGAUGAAGGUCUUCGGAUCGUAAAACUCUGUUAUUAGGGAAGAACAAAUGUGUAAGUAACUAUGCACGUCUUGACGGUACCUAAUCAGAAAGCCACGGCUAACUACGUG
RNAcentral lists this ribosomal RNA (497 nucleotides) under uncultured bacterium. Its description in RNAcentral is "partial 16S ribosomal RNA". It matches the Rfam family "Bacterial small subunit ribosomal RNA", at positions 28 to 507 of the family's 1533-position model. The record is from RNAcentral.